This 942-nucleotide long non-coding RNA is filed under the name Amborella trichopoda. RNAcentral's name for it is "long non-coding RNA (ATRI_LNC000619)". Lineage: Eukaryota; Viridiplantae; Streptophyta; Magnoliopsida; Amborellales; Amborellaceae. The record is from RNAcentral.
AUGUUCAAAUAAACCUAUGCUACCUUAUUUGAAGAAAGUCGACCUGUGUGUAAUGGAAGAAGUUUAUAUAAGGGUGAGGCCCUAAACAAUCAAUUAAAGCACAUAUCAACAAUUCAUUAUAAGAGGUUUUUUCAAUGAUGAAAAACCCUCAAUUCGAUCAUCUCGACCUCAACAAGUAUGGACAUGAGAAAAUGUAGAUUUCAAGUCUUGAAAAUAGUAUAUCUUGGAGUGUAUUGUCUAGACCGUCAAGUUUUAUGAUGUUUAAGUAUUCAUAGAUCUGCUUGAGAUUUUGAUACUGAAACACGUUUAGGCACCAUUUGAAGGUGCACCAUACUUUGAUUGCUUAGGGCUUGUGUCUUAUACAGACCGCAUCCAUAUGUAAUUAGCCUCGACAUCUGAGCACAAUUACAUACUAUGCUAGCAGCAUUAGUGACAACUAUACUAACUUCUUAUGAAUAAUGAUAAAUAGAAUUGUAUAAGAUAACUUCAUUCACUUUUGCUAUAAGGAAGUCACAAUCAUAUUUAGCCAUCGGAUGCAAAAUCCAAUAGCUUGAAGUCUAUCGCAUAGUUUGUGAAAUUUUAUUUUAGACUUUUUGCCCGGUUAAUAACACAACCAUAGCCACCCAAUUCACAUCAAACAGUGGAUAUUAGUGUAUACAGUUCUACAGAAGUCGUACUCAAUGUGCUGAAAAUAAAGGGCUUGCUCGCCAUAUGAUGAAAUUCUUGCCCUUUUUUGUACGCUAUCUUUUUCUUUCUUUACAAGCCUCAGGGAUUUCUUUUAUUAUUUUUCCUAUUACGUUUUAAGACAUCCCCUGCAUCAUCUUCGGUCUGAGAUGGAGAGGGGCUUAAUCAUACUUCAUACCAAAUAUGAGAGUGAGAGACACGCUCUAUUAUACUUCAUUCCAAAUACGAAUACUAAGAAAAGUCGGCCAUGUGUCCAAG